GACGAACGCUGGCGGCGUGCUUAACACAUGCAAGUCGAACGGGUCUGCCCUGUUUUUUGCGGGGUGGGUCAGUGGCGAACGGGUGAGUAACACGUGAGUAACCUGCCCCUCACUUCUGGAUAACCGCUUGAAAGGGUGGCUAAUACGGGGUGUUCUGGCUGUGCCGCAUGGUGUGGCUGGGAAAGAUUCACUUUUGUGGUGUUUUGGUGGGGGAUGGGCUCGCGGCCUAUCAGCUUGUUGGUGGGGUGAUGGCCUGCCAAGGCUUUGACGGGUAGCCGGCCUGAGAGGGUGGGCGGUCACACUGGGACUGGGAUACGGCCCAGACUCCUGCGGGAGGCAGCAGUGGGGGGUAUUGCACAAUGGGCGGAAGCCUGAUGCAGCGACGUCGCGUGAGGGAUGGAGGCCUUCGGGUUGUGAACCUCUUUCGCCGGUGAAGAAGGUCCUGCUCUUUGUGGUGGGGUUGACGGUAGCCGGGUUAUGAAGCGCCGGCUAACUACGUG
This 500-nucleotide ribosomal RNA is filed under the name uncultured bacterium. Its description in RNAcentral is "partial 16S ribosomal RNA". It matches the Rfam family "Bacterial small subunit ribosomal RNA", at positions 28 to 507 of the family's 1533-position model. The record is from RNAcentral.